This 444-nucleotide ribosomal RNA is filed under the name uncultured bacterium. RNAcentral describes it as "SSU rRNA". It matches the Rfam family "Bacterial small subunit ribosomal RNA", at positions 26 to 518 of the family's 1533-position model. The record is from RNAcentral.
AGAACGAACGCUGGCGGCAGGCUUAACACAUGCAAGUCGAACGAGACUUCGGUCUAGUGGCGCACGGGUGAGUAACGCGUGGGAACCUGUCCUAUGGUACGGAAUAACAUCGGGAAACUGGUGCUAAUACCGUAUAAGCCCCGAGGGGGAAAGAUUUAUCGCCAUAGGAGGGGCCCGCGUAGGAUUAGCUAGUUGGUGAGGUAACGGCUCACCAAGGCGACGAUCCUUAGCUGGUCUGAGAGGAUGAUCAGCCACACUGGGACUGAGACACGGCCCAGACUCCUACGGGAGGCAGCAGUGGGGAAUAUUGGACAAUGGGGGAAACCCUGAUCCAGCCAUGCCGCGUGAGUGAUGAAGGCCUUCGGGUUGUAAAGCUCUUUCGCACGUGACGAUGAUGACGGUAACGUGAGAAGAAGCCCCGGCUAACUUCGCGCCAGCAGCCGC